This 5117-nucleotide long non-coding RNA is filed under the name Anas platyrhynchos (mallard). Its description in RNAcentral is "lncRNA (ENSAPLG00020009773.1)". Lineage: Eukaryota; Metazoa; Chordata; Aves; Anseriformes; Anatidae. The record is from RNAcentral.
CACGCGCGGCGGGGGCGCGCGCGCGCGAUCCGCGACGUGGCGAUGCUGCGGGCGGUGGCGCUGCUGGCGCUGCUGGCGGCGGCGGCGGGGGCCGAGCUGCGGGACCUGGCCCGGGGCAAGGUGGAGGUGGGUGCCGCGGGGUCGGUGCCGGUGAUGGUGGUGAUGGUGCCGGUGAUGGUGACGGGCUGUGCUGUGCUUUUUCUCCCCGCAGACGUGCGGCGGGUGACGGCUGAACCGGCUGCGGGAGGUGAAAGCCUUCGUCACCCAGGACAUCCCCCUCUAGUACCCGAUGGGGGCUGCCGGGGGCUGCGAGGCACGGGGGGGGCUGUGUUGGGGAGGGGGGGGGCGGAAUGGGGUGGGGAUGGGACAGGGAUGGGAUGGGGAUGGGGACGGGGAUGGGAACAGGAUGGGGACAGGGACAGGAUGGGGAUGGGACAGGGACAGGAUGGGGACGGGAAUGGGAACGGGAUGGGGAUGGGACAGGGACAGGAUGGGGAUGGGAUGGGGUUGGACUGGGGAUGGGUAAGGAUAGGGAUGGAAUCGGGAUGGGAUGGGGACAGGACAGGGACAAGAUGGAGACGGAUGGGAUGGAAUGGGGAACAGCAGGAUGGGACGGGAGGGGAUGGGAUGGGAUGGGACGGGACGGGAUGUGGACGGGGUGUGGAUAAGAUGUGGAAGGGCAGGGGAUGGAAUGGGCUGGGACAGGACGGGAUGUGGGGCUGCAGCAGGACGGGAUACAGGGCAGAACAGGACAUGGGAUGGGAUGGGAACAGGACAGAGCACGGGAUGGGGUGAUGGGACAGGAUGGGGGCUGCGUAGUCCUGCUUGGUGCUGCCCGCUCCUUAACACGCUUGCAAGCCAUAACCUGGAGAUGAAGCACCUGCCUGGCGCCGACCCCGAGCUUGUACUCCUCAACCACAGAUACGAGGAGCUGGAGGUGAGUGCAGCCACCAGAGCCCCUGUGUGCCGGUGCAGGGCACCUGGGCUGGGUCUGAAGAGGCUGCAAUCCCUGUCUCUGUGCAGAGAAUCCCCCUGAGUGACAUGACCCGGGAGGAGAUCAACCAGCUGGUGCAGAAGCUGGGCUUCUACCGCAAGGAGACACCCGAUGCCCCUGUUCCUGAGGAGUUUCGGUUUGCCCCUGCUAAGCCUCUGCCCACCCUGCAGCCCCCCAAAGCUCCUGCAGCUGACAGCGAGACCCCACCUGAACGCGACGACAAAGAACAUCCAGACCUCUAGUGAGCGGUGCAAAGAGAAGUGGCAGAAGGUGCUGCAGCCUCAGUGGGUGAGGAUGAGGGUGUUAGAGCAGCUGCCUCUGCCUGUGCAGCUGGGAACAGAUCCAUGGGGUGACAAGGGUUUGACCACGAUGCAGGGAGAUCUUUCCAGCUCCCCCCACUGUUGCUCAGUGUUCAUAGCCUCUUCCCCGGGGAUGCCCUGAGCAGUUCUAGACUUGAGCAGAGGCUGCCAGUGCACCGAGGACAUCCGAGUGAGCCAUAGCUGCCUGUUAUUGCCUUCCCCCACCCCAGCCAUUCUGACACGGCCAACCUGAAGGAGCAGUAAUCUCAUUGUUCCUUUACCAUGCCCCGAGGUUUAGUCACCUCCUGGUGCUGGGCAGCGAUAUCCUACCUGCACAGGACAGGAUGAAACCCUCAGCAGAAAGCCCCAGGUGCUGAGAGUCGAUGUGCUGAGUCCUGGAGGUGGGAGAGCUGCCCCCUAGGAGGGUUCGGCUUCACACCACCAGCAGGGUUGCCUCAUAUUGAGCACACAGUAAAACUUUUGCUUACAAUCUGCUGCACCUUGUCAUCUUUCCAGGGUGGGCAUCAGUGGGGCAUGCCUGGAGGAGUCAAGGGUGCCUCAGAGCAGCUUGUAGAGGUGGAGGGGGGCCUGCAGGGUCACCCUGGGUGCACGGUCACCUCUGGUUGGUGAGCCCUCAACUGGGGUGGGACACGAAUGGUUCCUCUCAGCUCUGUAUUGUCCCUGUGCAGGAGGAGCUGUGCUCGCACAGAGGGGGCUCCAUGCAGGUGGGGCUGCAAACACCCCCAGGCAAAGGGAGGCAGCCUUGCACGCUGCAGGCAGGUUGCUCUAGGGGCUCCGUGCGGCCACGUUGCUUGGAGGGGAUGAUGGGGAGAAGGACUGGAGGCAGAGGCAUUGCCCUAUAGAAUAAACCUUUAUUGUCUGGCUGGUGUUGGUACACGUGUCAACGCAGGUGUAGACGGUGAUGAAGGGGUGAGUGGCACUGAGCACAACGUGCCCAGAGCUGGGGAGGAGCACGGGGGCUGCCUAGACCCUGGCCCUGGCCCCUCACGCCCUCCCUGCUCCCCUCCAGCUCCCCAGCACGUGGGUGCUGCAGGUCCCUGCCGUGGAAGUGCCCUGGGCACGUGAGUGCAGUGGGAAGCAGGGUGUCAGCAUGGGGCCAUCCCGGAGAGGUGGCACCAAGCAGGGACUGUGGUGGGCAGAGAGGCUGGCUUCCUUGCAGGGGGGGCCAGGAAAACCACUCUCGGGCUGCCUGGAGACCAAGGCGCUCUGCCUCAUGGAGGUACCAAAACCAGCAGUGCCCACCAGGGCCCCGGUUCUUGGAGGGGGGUCCGCGGGCUGAGCUGCGCUUACGUGGACCCACGCUGGCUCAGGGCCCGAGGGCACCACCAUGCCCCAGCCUCCCUGGGGAAACAGGGGCACUGCCCACCUACAAACAAUUCCUUUGAAAAUGAAUAACUUAAUACGCUAGAGCAUGGCGGGGGGGGUAGGGAGGAGGAGAACCAAGCUGGCUGCAGGGAGGGUGGCAUCCUGGGCAGCACCCGCCUGGCACUGUCCUGCCCUGCCCACGCCUUCAGCCGGGCAGAGGCCGACCGAGGAGCUCCAGCGAGGCCGAAGCAGGGGGUGACCCAAGUGAUGGAUCCCCCCCCCUCUUUUCCCCAGGACCAGCCCCGCAGCCUCUCCAGGCCCUCCCGCCAGCCUCUGGAGCGGAGCAGCAGCUCCUCCGCACACCAGCGUCCCUGCAGGGGAGGGGGCAGUGAGGUGUCGGGCAGCUGCAGGCCAGGGCAGGCUCUAGCACUCUUUCUGCCGCAUGCGCAACUCGUGGCGACGCAGGUGGUUGUAGAGGGACUGCACAUAGGUGAAGACGCACUUGGGGUCUGGCUUCUUCCCCAUGAUCAUCAUGUCUUCCACCUCCACCAGGGGCACGCAGUCUGCCAGCAUCCUGUGGAGACGCAGGCCUCAGCACGGCUGGGCGGGCUGCCCCUUCCUGCAGGGGACUGGGAUGGGGUCCGCCAGCGCUGGGUCCCUCUGUCCUCGGACUCACCCUGCCCUCCGUGCCCUUAUCCUACCCCUCCUGCUGCCUCCGAGGCCGGGCAGCCUGCAGGCACCACUCACCCCUGCUGUCUCCAGUGCUCCCCUACCACCCGCAUACACCCUGCCCCAGCUCCUGCCCUGCUCUCCGUGCCUGCAGUCACCCCCCCAGCCCCUGUGGGCACGCCUGGCUGCAGAGGAGCUGCUGGAGUGUCCCUGUCCCCCACUGCCCUUUGCUCCUGUCCCAUAGCCAAGGCCACAUCUGCUGCACCAAGGGCUGUGCUGGGCCCGUCCCCAGCUGCUGCCAGCCUCAUCGCUGCCCCUCUGCCAUGAGCAGCACCCCAGCCAGCCCCCAGCACCCUGCCCCUGCCAUCCCACAGCCCUCCCAGUGCCCGGUGCCACCCCAAAGCCCUGAACUGGGGCUCCCGUCCUGCCAGAUCCUCAGCCUCGGGGGCUGCUGGCACCACUGGGUCAGGUACGGAGGGGAGAGUAGGGUCAGCUCCCACCCCAUCCCACCCCAUCCCAGGCUUGUUGAGAGUUUAGGGGUGGCAGGGGGGUGCCCAGGAGCAGAGCAGAGCUCUUGCUGCCUGCCCAGCUCCCAGCACGCCUCCCAGCAGUCCCAGCUGGGCAGCAGUGCAGGCUGUGAUGGGACCCAAAAUAACAGCCCCGUGCUGAGGCCAGGGCUGGGGAGGAGGAGGCUGAAGCUCAGCCUAGGGCUGAGCAUGGAACACAGCCUCACUUGGGACCUCCGUGCAGUGAUCAGGGCUGGAGAUAAAAUGCUUCCAGGGUCCUUGCAGUGCCUACACAGGCCUGGCUUCGUGGCUGAGUGGUGGUGCAGGCUGAGCCAAGAAGGGGGCUCAUUGGGGCUGCUCCAACCCUACUGGGAGGAUCAGACAGCUUGGCUGACACCCUUCAGCAAAACCCUUCCCCCAGUCCUCUCCCCCCUGUGCCAAGCUGUAGAGUCCCACCUGGAUUUGCUGCAUGCUUCAGUACCCCCAGCACAGGACCUGGAGGGGGGGACUUGGGUCUGGCACGGGCACAGCACAUGAGCAGAACCACUGCUGGUGCCAGCCCUUGGGCAGGGAGGUAGGGGUGAAAGGAGCAGCGGGCUCGAGGAGAGAAAUCCCUUAGCUCCUAGGGCUCCUCACGAGCGCUGCAGCCAUGCUGGGGGGGUUUCAGGCCAGCCCAGCAGCUGUGUUGGGGACCUGCUUCUCUGCCUUGCUCCUUUGGUUAGCACUGCAGAGCUGGAACUCAAAAGGCCAGGGAAGCAGCGGGCCCUGAGCCCAGGACCUGGCUAGCACCAACCCCUCCACGUGAUCCAGCAGCAGCCCAGGGGGGGCCACGCUCAGGGCCUUGGAAAAAAAGCACCCGCCUGGUCACAGGAGGCCCCUGUUAUACCGCCAGCCCAACCGUGGGCCCAGUCCCAAGGGUGAUGGAAAAGCUAAGGCAGCACGGGGAGACAGUCUCUGUCCUUAUAAAGGCAUUGUUUGGGCCUCGGUGUGCUCGUGCAGUGCGCAGCCGGGGGAGAGGAGGCUCCAGCGCCAGCUGGGAUGCCCCUGAGAACAGGCACAAACAGUGCAAGAAGAGGCAGGACCGGAGCCUUGAGUCACACUUUCCAGGCUCCCCUCUCUUUCCCAUAUAAGAGCAGGCAGCACCUUGGCAAGGGGGAAGGGAGGGAGAGAACAUCCUCUGCCACGCCUGACCCCCACAUCAGCCUCCACCCGCCCAGGGCAGGCAGCCCUGAUUUUUGGGGGUGAGGAGGGCAGCAGCAAACGCAAGCGGUGGGGCUGGGGGGGGGAGGUUAGGGGGCGAUGGGUGCUCACCCCUCACCUGGG